RNAcentral lists this ribosomal RNA (394 nucleotides) under uncultured bacterium. RNAcentral's name for it is "partial 16S ribosomal RNA". It matches the Rfam family "Bacterial small subunit ribosomal RNA", at positions 523 to 917 of the family's 1533-position model. The record is from RNAcentral.
AUACGUAGGGUGCAAGCGUUAAUCGGAAUUACUGGGCGUAAAGCGUGCGCAGGCGGUUUUGUAAGACAGUGGUGAAAUCCCCGGGCUCAACCUGGGAACUGGCAUUGUGACUGCAAGGCUGGAGUGCGGCAGAGGGGGAUGGAAUUCCGCGUGUAGCAGUGAAAUGCGUAGAUAUGCGGAGGAACAACGAUGGCGAAGGCAAUCCCCUGUGCCUGCACUGACGCUCAUGCACGAAAGCGUGGGGAGCAAACAGGAUUAGAUACCCUGGUAGUCCACGCCCUAAACGAUGUCAACUGGUUGUUGGGGAUUUAUUUUCUCAGUAACGAAGCUAACGCGUGAAGUUGACCGCCUGGGGAGUACGGCCGCAAGGUUAAAACUCAAAUGAAUUGACGGG